GUUUUGGACCUCUCAAGGACAAAUAAGAAAAAUGGCAGUUGUUAUCGUAAGGUACACUCAUAAGGUACUAACAUUCAAAUCAGCUUCUAGUGGCUUAUCUAUAUAACCUUUAUUAUGCAAACACCCACUUCUUACCAAUGGAGGGUAAGAGUAUCAUGCAUCCACAUGCAUAUAGAACUCAUUUAUUGGCGCUACUGUCCCUUUAACACUCGCACUGCUAAGUUAAGCUCCAAACAAGAUUCAGUCUUCCGUGGAUUUCUCCCCAUGGCAGUCGCACUAGAGCAGAGCAACAUGAUGUUAUGCAAAGGCCACAGUGAGCUGCUGAAGUUUCAGGGGUCCCAGAGGAAGGAGAGAGAGUUCAUCAUGUACAAGUUUUGUGAGGCAUGGAACCUGGUACUGAGACUUACAAACAAACACAACUCUCUGCAGUCACAGCUGGAGGAAGCUAUGAAGCAGCACCAGAGAUUAGAGAAGAAAAGUCAAGAGCAGACACAGUAAGAAAAUACCAUUUUGACUGGCCAGAGACUCCAGGGCCAGAGGGUAGCUUGACUGCUGGAGGAGAAGGUCCAGAUUGAGAUUCAAUCAGGCAGACUGUGCCAGAUGACGAGGGGCCAGCCCCAAACAAGCAGCAACUGUCCGAGGAGAGGAAUUCAGUGAAAGCCCAGGGGACUUCUCUUUUGGGGGAGCUGAAAGAGUCAGACAAGUCUGGAGAUUUGCAUGCAGGAAAAGAGAGAGCUAGAGGACAGCCUCCGUAACACCCUUGAGGAGAAGAAAGGGUGGAAAGCACAAGCGAAGCAACAGGUUGUUCAACUGGACCAAUGAAUGAUGCAAGUGCAGUAUCUGGAAACAACACUGAAAAUGGAGAGACAAAAUGCCACAGAAGAGAAGAACAGACUUGUUAUAAAGGCCCAAGGGUCAUUAGCAGCCUGGUUGUAUUUGCCUUGGGGUCAUUACCUACCUUAGUUAUAAAGGCCUGAGGGUCAUUAGCUGGCCUGUUUGUUAUUGCCUGAGGGUCAUUAGUAGCCUGGUUAUAAAAGCAUGAGGUUUAGUAGCUGACCUGGUUAUAAGGCCCUGCAAUGAUGUUCAGCUGGCCUAGACAGAAUUAUCUUUUUUACUUGUUAAAGGAGAACUAAAGCCUAACAAAAGAAGUAGCUAGAAUGUUGUACAUUAUGUUUUGGUCUUCUGUACCAGCCCAAGGCA
Long non-coding RNA from Xenopus laevis (African clawed frog), 1200 nucleotides. RefSeq lists it as uncharacterized. The record is from RefSeq and is a predicted model, not a curated record. Lineage: Eukaryota; Metazoa; Chordata; Amphibia; Anura; Pipidae. The transcript is spliced from 4 exons.